RNAcentral lists this transfer RNA (74 nucleotides) under Antarcticirhabdus aurantiaca. RNAcentral's name for it is "tRNA-OTHER". It matches the Rfam family "tRNA". Rfam says of the family: Transfer RNA (tRNA) molecules are approximately 80 nucleotides in length. The record is from RNAcentral. Lineage: Bacteria; Pseudomonadati; Pseudomonadota; Alphaproteobacteria; Hyphomicrobiales; Aurantimonadaceae.
GCGGAUGUAAGCUCAGUGGUAGAGCUUGAGGAGUGCCCACCCCCAGGUCGCGGGUUCGAUUCCCGUCAUCCGCU